UUUUAUGAGAGUUUGAUCCUGGCUCAGGACGAACGCUGGCGGCGUACCUAAUACAUGCAAGUCGAACGCUUCUUUUUCCACCGGAGCUUGCUCCACCGGAAAAAGAGGAGUGGCGAACGGGUGAGUAACACGUGGGUAACCUGCCCAUCAGAAGGGGAUAACACUUGGAAACAGGUGCUAAUACCGUAUAACAAUC
This 196-nucleotide ribosomal RNA is filed under the name Enterococcus faecium. Its description in RNAcentral is "partial 16S ribosomal RNA". It matches the Rfam family "Bacterial small subunit ribosomal RNA", at positions 1 to 181 of the family's 1533-position model. Lineage: Bacteria; Bacillati; Bacillota; Bacilli; Lactobacillales; Enterococcaceae. The record is from RNAcentral.